This 432-nucleotide ribosomal RNA is filed under the name uncultured bacterium. RNAcentral describes it as "bacterial SSU rRNA". It matches the Rfam family "Bacterial small subunit ribosomal RNA", at positions 355 to 776 of the family's 1533-position model. The record is from RNAcentral.
UGGGGAAUAUUGCGCAAUGGGCGAAAGCCUGACGCAGCGACGCCGCGUGAGUGAUGAAGGCCUUCGGGUCGUAAAGCUCUGUCAAAGGGGACGAACUAACUCCUGAGAAUAAUACCUCAGGGGCCUGACGGUACCCUUAAAGGAAGCACCGGCUAACUCCGUGCCAGCAGCCGCGGUAAAACGGAGGGUGCAAGCGUUGUUCGGAAUCACUGGGCGUAAAACGCGCGUAGGCGGAAUGAGUAGUCGGGUGUGAAAUCCCUCGGCUUAACCGAGGAAUUGCGUCCGAAACCAUCAUUCUUGAGUUCCGGAGAGGAGCGGGGAAUUCCCAGUGUAGAGUUGAAAUUCGUAGAUAUUGGGAGGAACACCUGAGGCGAAGGCGCUGCUCUGGACGGAUACUGACGCUAAGGCGCGAAAGCGUGGGUAGCAAACAGG